Long non-coding RNA from Hippocampus comes (tiger tail seahorse), 831 nucleotides. RefSeq lists it as uncharacterized. Lineage: Eukaryota; Metazoa; Chordata; Actinopteri; Syngnathiformes; Syngnathidae. The record is from RefSeq and is a predicted model, not a curated record. The transcript is spliced from 5 exons.
UCUUGACUUACAUCUUUACAUUCGAAGGGAUCAAUUGUUUUUUGAGGACUUUAUUCUCCUGUCAUAGAACAAGAUGUUUGACGAAUUAAAACACAUUUUACCUUUCUUUACAUUCUUCACCCUUUAAUAAUUUAGUUUGACCUUUCUCACAUCCUUCAUACUUUUCACCCUUAAAAUUGAGUAAUUUAGUGCUGAAACCGAACAUGUUUACCGAACAAAUACCUUAAUUUUCUGACAUUCUAAAUGAACAUAAAUGUAGCGUCAGAUUUACUUGAAGUUUGGUGACAUCUCGUGGUAAAAAAGGGUAACUAGCAAUUGAUACCGAAGUGCUCGUCUUCAACUCUUUUUUUACACGGCCUGCGUACAAAAUCUUCACCCCUCUUCAUUCUCCAUUACAUUGAAAGAGAACAAGUAAAAAGGUGCAUUGUGGGCGAAGGUUUUGAUGAGUGGAGGGGGGAGAACCUGGACAGCUGAGUGAAAAGUUAACAACUAAAACAGCAUUCAAGGAAGUGGAAAGAGAUCCUUGCUCAAGGAGAACUUUCUACAUUCACACCAGAUGAAAAUAACAGUUUUUCUGGAUGGAAAUGUUGAUGCAAGCCUUGGCUUUGAAGGAUCACAUUUCUAAAAGACGCACAUCUGCCAUCCUCCACGCUGAUGGAUGGACCAGCACUCGGCGAACAUGGUCUUGUGAUCACCCCGGGAAGAAACUGCGCCCAAUAUGCAACCUGUGAACUGCAAUUGCCUCACCCUUUUAUGAUUUGUAGUUGCCAUGUAGGUUUACAACCCUGUUGUAUUCCUUUAUAGUGCACUUUGAUGCCUCUCGUGCAUUUC